GGUAUUGGAUUGAUACAAUUGUAAUUCAAUCAAUAUUUUAAUUUAAAUAUCUCUCAUCUACGUUCAUUAUACUUUGCUCGUGUCUUCUACCUCUAAAAUCCUGAGCAAACGCUGCUUUCACAUCCUGGCCCACUUUGCUACUCCUCCCCCUCCUACUGCUCUGCUGUGAGUCGUUGUUGUGUCGUCACGUGACUCACUGACACAAUGCAGUGAGGAGCAGCGGACAGAGUGAGCGAAGCUGAUAGCACAUUGAAGUCCAGAAGGGGGGCUCAGGGAAUGUAUUUGCACAGCGCCCAGGGGUGCUUAAAAAAAGUUAUGAAACCCUGCUGCCCUGACUACUUCACCAGUUUUUGAAAAGUGCGUGUAAAAAAAGUGAGGAAACAAUAAGAGGAGUUUUAAGACCAGUUGGAUUGGGUGUAAAUGCAAAAGGCACGAGAGUCGACUGUUUCUGACAGUGCCGCGCAUCAGUAGCGUAAUGCUAACCCGUCCUGUGUGAAAGCACGAGUCCAUGCUGCUUCCAUGCUGCUUCAGCACCACAUACGUAACGCACACAGACUGCAUACGCACUGCAGACGGAUUAUAUGUGAAACCGGUACAGAUGAGACAUUAUGUGCUGUAGACGACGAAUCAAGUAAAAAAACUAAGGAUGAGGACAGUAGCUUUUCUGUACCAGCCGUGGUACAUACAGGAACAUCCUUCAUGAAGAUGUGUGAGAGAAGCUUGCAAGGCAAGAUAAUGU
Long non-coding RNA from Carassius auratus (goldfish), 739 nucleotides. RefSeq lists it as uncharacterized. The record is from RefSeq and is a predicted model, not a curated record. Lineage: Eukaryota; Metazoa; Chordata; Actinopteri; Cypriniformes; Cyprinidae. The transcript is spliced from 4 exons.